RNAcentral lists this ribosomal RNA (231 nucleotides) under uncultured bacterium. RNAcentral's name for it is "partial 16S ribosomal RNA". It matches the Rfam family "Bacterial small subunit ribosomal RNA", at positions 333 to 581 of the family's 1533-position model. The record is from RNAcentral.
CAAAUCCUACGGGGCGCAGCAGUGGGGGAUAUUGGACAAUGGGGGAAACCCUGAUCCAGCGAUGCCGCGUGAGGGAAGAAGGUUUUCGGAUCGUAAACCUCUGUGGAGGGGGACGAUAAUGACGGUACCCCUUUAGGAAGCCACGGCUAACUACGUGCCAGCAGCCGCGGUAAUACGUAGGUGGCGCGCGUUGUCCGGAAUUACUGGGUGUAAAGGGCGUGGAGGCGGGGA